GAUGAACGCUGGCGGCGUGCCUAAUACAUGCAAGUCGAGCGAACAGACGAGGAGCUUGCUCCUCUGACGUUAGCGGCGGACGGGUGAGUAACACGUGGAUAACCUACCUAUAAGACUGGGAUAACUUCGGGAAACCGGAGCUAAUACCGGAUAAUAUAUUGAACCGCAUGGUUCAAUAGUGAAAGACGGUUUUGCUGUCACUUAUAGAUGGAUCCGCGCCGCAUUAGCUAGUUGGUAAGGUAACGGCUUACCAAGGCAACGAUGCGUAGCCGACCUGAGAGGGUGAUCGGCCACACUGGAACUGAGACACGGUCCAGACUCCUACGGGAGGCAGCAGUAGGGAAUCUUCCGCAAUGGGCGAAAGCCUGACGGAGCAACGCCGCGUGAGUGACGAAGGUCUUCGGAUCGUAAAACUCUGUUAUUAGGGAAGAACAAAUGUGUAAGUAACUAUGCACGCCUUGACGGUACCUAAUCAGAAAGCCACGGCUAACUACGUG
Molecule: ribosomal RNA, 497 nt
Filed under: uncultured bacterium
Lineage: Bacteria
Description: partial 16S ribosomal RNA
Rfam family: Bacterial small subunit ribosomal RNA
Source: RNAcentral